GUCAACGCGGGAUUAUGCAGGAAUUAUGCGGUCAACGCGGAAAUUAGGCGGUCUUACGCGGGUCAACGCGGAUCAACGCCUGGCUACACCGAUUUGGACAUAAUCGCCGCGGUCAACCUCCGAACAGCACCUAAGCGGCUAAGCGGCCGCCUUUUCGAAAACGCCCAAAAAAUAAUAAAAAGAAAAUUUUGGACAUUAUUAUAAUUAUAAAAUGAAAUAACAGAUCUCGAGAUACUUAAGUGUGAAUCUCAUAAAAAACAAAUCUGAUAAAUAAGAACGACUCAAA
This 286-nucleotide long non-coding RNA is filed under the name Brassica napus (rape). Its description in RNAcentral is "long non-coding RNA (BNAP_LNC010971)". Lineage: Eukaryota; Viridiplantae; Streptophyta; Magnoliopsida; Brassicales; Brassicaceae. The record is from RNAcentral.